UUUAAAUGAAAGAAAUUCAAUCAAUUUAAAAACUGAUGUUGAAAAACUUAGCGUCAUUUAUUUACAACUUAUUAACGAUCACUUUUAAAUAUCAAUAUUCUUAAAUAUUUCUUUUCACAAUACAACCUUAGAAUCCUUUCAUAUAUCAACUUUGGCCUUUUAUAUCUCUUCCUUAUGAAGUCACCUUUAAAUUGACAGAAUUUAUAACCUCACUUUUGAACACGUGAUGAAAAUAAUCAUGUGUUCAAGUAUAUAUUUUAUUAACUUAUUUAUUAAUUAAAUGUUUCAAAAAAAAUUUUAUAUUAAAUUAAAAAUAUUAUAAAAUGUUAUUAUUUAAAUAUUUCUUUAAAAUCUUUUAACUAUUUAUAUGAUGAAAACAAGACUACAUCAUUUUUUAUACAAAAACAUUUAAAAACUUUAUUUACUAACUAAUAUAUUUAUGAAAUUGUCGUCAUGUCAAAACAGUUAUUGAAAUUCUUUCUACGAAAGAUAACAUGUCAGAAAAAUCUUCAAGAAACAAAUUUAUAAUUAAUUUUCGCAUGAUUUAUAUCUGAUGAGGACACGAAAUCGUGUCGAAACGCGUCAUGUGAAAUUUUAUAUAUAUUGAUAAUUAUUAAAAAGCCAAUAGGCCAAAAAAAUU
Molecule: long non-coding RNA, 640 nt
Organism: Leptopilina boulardi
Lineage: Eukaryota; Metazoa; Arthropoda; Insecta; Hymenoptera; Figitidae
Exons: 3
Source: RefSeq, a predicted model, not a curated record